CUCUCUCUCUUUUUUUUUUUUAGAGACAGAGUCUCGCUCUGUCGCCCAGGCUGGAGUGCAGUGGCACAAUCUCGGCUCACUGCAACCUCCGCCUCCCAGCUUCAAGCGAUUCCCCUGCCUCAGCCUCCCGAGUAGCUGGGACUAUAGGUGUGUGUCACCACGCCUGGCUAAUUUUUUGUAUUUUUAGUAGAGAUGGGGUUUCACCGUGUUAGUGAGGAUGGUCUCUAUCUCCUGACUUCGUGAUCUACCUGCCUCGGCCUCCCAAAGUGCUGGGAUUACAGGUGUGAGCCACCUCACCCGGCCCGCCCUGUUGGCUUGUUUUUGAUGAAGGCAUUUGCUUCACCUGUAUUUGAAUAUUUGCAUAUAUUUAAAGGAGGAAUUAAUUCCAAUGAGUGUGAAAAUGUAUCAAGAAAAAAGAAAAUGUUAGAGGAAUUUGAAGCCAAUACUAUGGAUUCUCUGAUAGACAUGCCAUUUGCCACUGUAGAUAUUCAGGAUGACUGUGGAAUCACUGAUGAACCUCAAAUAAAUUUGAAGAGAAGUCAAGAAAAUGAAUGGGUCAAGAGUGAUCAAGUAAAGAAGAGGAAAAAAAAGAGAAAAGAUUAUCAACCCAACUAUUUCCUGUCCAUUCCAAUCACCAACAAAGAGAUUAUAAAAGGAAUUAAGAUCCUGCAGAAUGCAAUAAUACAACAAGAUGAGCGACUGGCCAAAGCAAUGGUCCAGACACAGGUGGCACCUCCAACUUCCUUCAGGGGGCUCAGAUAUGGACGGAGUGAGACAGUACAUUUCGUAGCCAUGAUCGCAGUCAUCACAAAAGCCCAGCUGGUCAUCAUCUUCAGAGGUGCCGCAGAUAUCGCAACAUUUGUGCUCGAUGCACUGCCAGCAGUAUGUCUUCACUGCCCUA
Molecule: small RNA, 901 nt
Filed under: Pan troglodytes (chimpanzee)
Lineage: Eukaryota; Metazoa; Chordata; Mammalia; Primates; Hominidae
Description: processed transcript
Source: RNAcentral